This 799-nucleotide ribosomal RNA is filed under the name uncultured Verrucomicrobiota bacterium. Its description in RNAcentral is "bacterial SSU rRNA". It matches the Rfam family "Bacterial small subunit ribosomal RNA", at positions 58 to 835 of the family's 1533-position model. The record is from RNAcentral. Lineage: Bacteria; Pseudomonadati; Verrucomicrobiota.
CAAGUCGGACGAGAUUUUCCGUUGUAGCAAUACGAUGGAAAGUCUAGUGGCGAACGGGUGCUUAACACGUGGGCAACCUGCCGAGAAGUGGGGGAUAGCUCGCCGAAAGGCGAAUUAAUACCGCAUGUGAUCAGAGAGGACAUCCUUUCGAAAUUAAAGGUGGCGCAAGCUACCGCUUCUUGUGGGGCCCGCGGCCUAUCAGCUAGUUGGUGAGGUAACGGCUCACCAAGGCUUUGACGGGUAGCUGGUCUGAGAGGACGACCAGCCACACUGGGACUGAGACACGGCCCAGACACCUACGGGUGGCAGCAGUCGAGAAUUUUUCUCAAUGGGGGAAACCCUGAAGGAGCGACGCCGCGUGGAGGAUGAAGGUCUUCGGAUUGUAAACUCCUGUCAUUGGGGAACAAUGCGCAGAUAUUAACUGUAUUUGCGUUGAUAGUACCCGAAGAGGAAGAGACGGCUAACUCUGUGCCAGCAGCCGCGGUAAUACAGAGGUCUCAAGCGUUGUUCGGAUUCAUUGGGCGUAAAGGGUGCGUAGGCGGCGCGGUAAGUCGGGUGUGAAAUCUCGGAGCUUAACUCCGAAACUGCAUUCGAUACUGCCGUGCUUGAGGACUGGAGAGGAGACUGGAAUUUACGGUGUAGCGGUGAAAUGCGUAGAUAUCGUAAGGAAGACCAGUGGCGAAGGCGGGUCUCUGGACAGUUCCUGACGCUGAGGCACGAAGGUCAGGGGAGCAAACGGGAUUAGAUACCCCGGUAGUCCUGACAGUAAACGGUGCACGUUUGGUGUGGGAAGGAUUCG